RNAcentral lists this unclassified non-coding RNA (473 nucleotides) under Hevea brasiliensis (rubber tree). The record is from RNAcentral. Lineage: Eukaryota; Viridiplantae; Streptophyta; Magnoliopsida; Malpighiales; Euphorbiaceae.
GUCUACAUUGAUGUGUUUGACCAGGUGUGAAAGAUUGCUAAAUGAAGCAUAAUUGUAAAAUCUAAGAUUAAUUUAUAGUGUUGAUUAGCAUGCACUUGUAUGUUGCAUACUCUUUGCUUCUAUUUUUGUGAUGUAACUUGGCAUAUGGAAGGAAUCCCACUGGCACGGUGGUUAAAUUUUAUAUUUUGUUCUUUUGCUCCAUUAUACAUUUUAGAUAGGCCAUGUACCUUUUGGUAAUAUCUGCAUCAUGAAAAAGCAAUACUUGUGACCAUCUUGUUGCUUCAUUCGUGCCAUCUGUAUGCUUGUGCUUUGCUAGAGAUAGAAAUCAUAUAUGCAUUCUAACUGCAAAUUGUCAUGGUUCGAUGAACUGUGUUUUAUUCCAAGCAGUGUUAUUAAGGUGAGAGGUGACACUAAGGUGGGUGAGAGGAGAGGCGAGGUGAGGGCCUUUUAGAAGUGAGGCACUUAGCCUAUAU